This 877-nucleotide ribosomal RNA is filed under the name Lactiplantibacillus plantarum. RNAcentral's name for it is "bacterial SSU rRNA". It matches the Rfam family "Bacterial small subunit ribosomal RNA", at positions 56 to 898 of the family's 1533-position model. Lineage: Bacteria; Bacillati; Bacillota; Bacilli; Lactobacillales; Lactobacillaceae. The record is from RNAcentral.
UGCAGUCGAACGAACUCUGGUAUUGAUUGGUGCUUGCAUCAUGAUUUACAUUUGAGUGAGUGGCGAACUGGUGAGUAACACGUGGGAAACCUGCCCAGAAGCGGGGGAUAACACCUGGAAACAGAUGCUAAUACCGCAUAACAACUUGGACCGCAUGGUCCGAGUUUGAAAGAUGGCUUCGGCUAUCACUUUUGGAUGGUCCCGCGGCGUAUUAGCUAGAUGGUGAGGUAACGGCUCACCAUGGCAAUGAUACGUAGCCGACCUGAGAGGGUAAUCGGCCACAUUGGGACUGAGACACGGCCCAAACUCCUACGGGAGGCAGCAGUAGGGAAUCUUCCACAAUGGACGAAAGUCUGAUGGAGCAACGCCGCGUGAGUGAAGAAGGGUUUCGGCUCGUAAAACUCUGUUGUUAAAGAAGAACAUAUCUGAGAGUAACUGUUCAGGUAUUGACGGUAUUUAACCAGAAAGCCACGGCUAACUACGUGCCAGCAGCCGCGGUAAUACGUAGGUGGCAAGCGUUGUCCGGAUUUAUUGGGCGUAAAGCGAGCGCAGGCGGUUUUUUAAGUCUGAUGUGAAAGCCUUCGGCUCAACCGAAGAAGUGCAUCGGAAACUGGGAAACUUGAGUGCAGAAGAGGACAGUGGAACUCCAUGUGUAGCGGUGAAAUGCGUAGAUAUAUGGAAGAACACCAGUGGCGAAGGCGGCUGUCUGGUCUGUAACUGACGCUGAGGCUCGAAAGUAUGGGUAGCAAACAGGAUUAGAUACCCUGGUAGUCCAUACCGUAAACGAUGAAUGCUAAGUGUUGGAGGGUUUCCGCCCUUCAGUGCUGCAGCUAACGCAUUAAGCAUUCCGCCUGGGGAGUACGGCCGCAAGGCUGAA